GAUGAACGCUGGCGGCGUGCCUAAUACAUGCAAGUCGAGCGAACAGAUGAGGAGCUUGCUCCUCUGACGUUAGCGGCGGACGGGUGAGUAACACGUGGAUAACCGACCUAUAAGACUGGGAUAACUUCGGGAAACCGGAGCUAAUACCGGAUAAUAUAUUGAACCGCAUGGUUCAAUAGUGAAAGACGGUUUUGCUGUCACUUAUAGAUGGAUCCGCGCCGGAUUAGCUAGUUGGUAAGGUAACGGCUUACCAAGGCAACGAUGCGUAGCCGACCUGAGAGGGUGAUCGGCCACACUGGAACUGAGACACGGUCCAGACUCCUACGGGAGGCAGCAGUAGGGAAUCUUCCGCAAUGGGCGAAAGCCUGACGGAGCAACGCCGCGUGAGUGAUGAAGGUCUUCGGAUCGUAAAACUCUGUUAUUAGGGAAGAACAAAUGUGUAAGUAACUAUGCACGUCUUGACGGUACCUAAUCAGAAAGCCACGGCUAACUACGUG
Molecule: ribosomal RNA, 497 nt
Filed under: uncultured bacterium
Lineage: Bacteria
Description: partial 16S ribosomal RNA
Rfam family: Bacterial small subunit ribosomal RNA
Source: RNAcentral